GUAGGGAAUAUUGGACAAUGGGGGCAACCCUGAUCCAGCCAUGCCGCGUGCAGGAUGAAGGCCUUCGGGUUGUAAACUGCUUUUGUACGGAACGAAAAGACUCUGGUUAAUACCUGGGGUCCAUGACGGUACCGUAAGAAUAAGCACCGGCUAACUACGUGCCAGCAGCCGCGGUAAUACGUAGGGUGCAAGCGUUAAUCGGAAUUACUGGGCGUAAAGCGUGCGCAGGCGGUUAUAUAAGACAGAUGUGAAAUCCCCGGGCUCAACCUGGGAACUGCAUUUGUGACUGUAUAGCUAGAGUACGGCGGAGGGGGAUGGAAUUCCGCGUGUAGCAGUGAAAUGCGUAGAUAUGCGGAGGAACACCGAUGGCGAAGGCAAUCCCCUGGGCCUGUACUGACGCUCAUGCACGAAAGCGUGGGGAGCAAACAGGAUUAGAUACCCGAGUAGUCC
RNAcentral lists this ribosomal RNA (450 nucleotides) under uncultured bacterium. RNAcentral's name for it is "partial 16S ribosomal RNA". It matches the Rfam family "Bacterial small subunit ribosomal RNA", at positions 354 to 796 of the family's 1533-position model. The record is from RNAcentral.